UACGGAACGCAGCAGUGGGGAAUAUUGCACAAUGGGCGCAAGCCUGAUGCAGCCAUGCCGCGUGUAUGAAGAAGGCCUUCGGGUUGUAAAGUACUUUCAGUCGUGAGGAAGGUGUUAAGGUUAAUAACCUUAGCAAUUGACGUUAGCGACAGAAGAAGCACCGGCUAACUCCGUGCCAGCAGCCGCGGUAAUACGGAGGGUGCGAGCGUUAAUCGGAAUUACUGGGCGUAAAGGGCACGCAGGCGGUUAAUUAAGUUGGAUGUGAAAUCCCCGGGCUUAACCUGGGAAUGGCAUUCAAGACUGGUUAGCUAGAGUCUUGUAGAGGGGGUAGAAUUCCAUGUGUAGCGGUGAAAUGCGUAGAGAUGUGGAGGAAUACCGGUGGCGAAGGCGGCCCCUGGGACAAAGACUGACGCUCAUGUGCGAAAGCGUGGGGAGCAAACAGGAUUAGAUACC
Molecule: ribosomal RNA, 453 nt
Filed under: uncultured bacterium
Lineage: Bacteria
Description: bacterial SSU rRNA
Rfam family: Bacterial small subunit ribosomal RNA
Source: RNAcentral